UCCCUGGAGGACUAGUGGUUAGACCUCAGUGCUCUCCCUGCCGCGGCCCGGGUUUGAUUCCUGGUCAAGGAA
Molecule: non-coding RNA, 72 nt
Organism: Pangasius djambal
Lineage: Eukaryota; Metazoa; Chordata; Actinopteri; Siluriformes; Pangasiidae
Source: the annotation of a GenBank genome assembly